Long non-coding RNA from Numida meleagris (helmeted guineafowl), 2502 nucleotides. RefSeq lists it as uncharacterized. NCBI's taxonomy places the organism in Eukaryota, Metazoa, Chordata, Aves, Galliformes, Numididae. The record is from RefSeq and is a predicted model, not a curated record. The transcript is spliced from 7 exons.
CGCGCUUGGACGUCCGGGGGGCACCGCGUCGCGAUGCCGCGUGUUUGUUUGAAGCUGGGGCUGGCGGCGAGGCUCGCUCCGUGGGGCGGCACGUACAGGGUGUGAGCGCUGCGGGGCGGCAACCGCCGUGGGGUCGCGGGCCGGGGGUAAAGCGCCGCGGCGGCGUGGGGACGGAGGGGCAAACUGCAGGUCCCGGCGUGCCCCGCGCCCCGCGGGGAGGGAGAUGGGAGAGCGACGGGGCUGGCUCCGGGCCGGAAGCGGCGCGGGGCACUUUGGGAGGCGUAGUUCGUGGAGGAGGCGGCCGCGUGGGCGGCGGGGUCCCAUUUUGCCCUGGUACGGGCGGUGCCCGGCGGGGCUCGGCGUGGCCCGCGCCAUUUUGAGCUAAGGCCGGUGGCCGGGGGAGCGCCCUCGGGGGCUGCUGGGCAAGCGCUGCCCGACUGCGCCGACGGCCCUGAAGCGCUGAGGGUAGAAGCAGCCUCGUCGUAGAGCGGGGCGGCUCUCCGUUGCACUUAGUUGUCAUUUAAUUUAUCCGUUCUCACGCCGCCACCUGUAACGACAUGCCCCAUUCUAUUCUAAUAAGAGGUUAGCGCGUCUUGAAGAAGUCAGUGGCCCUGUUACUUCGACGUAUGAGGCAGAAACUUUCAGUGGUGUCCAAUAUGUUGUUCAGAAGCAUUAAGCCUGUCGUGGAAACACCAUCGGAACUAGAAGAGUAUUUGGUACACGCAAGUGGAUUUUCCUGAAGGCUGUGUAUGUUUUGAAUCAUCUGGAGAUAAAUUGAAUGGCGUAUGAACAGGUUUUAAUAAUGGAGAAGUUGAGCAUUGUGACGAAAGAGGUCCUGGCAACUAUUCUACAGCACUACAAGAGGGGUGCUUGAAGGCUGCUUCUUGAAGGCAGGAAAACUGUCACAAGUGUAUGAACAAAUGCUUUUAAUUUGUUCAGUGAGUUGGAACGUUUUUGUCAGUGCUGCUUGACAUAUGUGGAUGAUCUGUAACUGGAAGAAAGUGUAACACCUGAAGAAAUGUUCUCGCUUGGAGUGGGACCAUGCUUUUAAAAUCCUGCUGAAGCAGUUGUUGAAAUUGUUUAGCAGAUACCUGUUAUCAAAAACUGCAUGUGAACCAGAAUUACUGUCUCUGUAUUUAAAAUAACGCUUUUCCCAAAACAUCAAACUGCCCUCUUUGGGAAGAAUAACAGUAGCAUUAGGGAAAUGACUGGUGAGCUUCAAUGUAUGAAGAAGAAACAGAUUAUUGGCCCUUAUGAAAUGCAAGGGUAUGCAGACUUUUUGAUCGUGAGCAUCUGUAAUAACUCAGAACAAUGGAAGUUGCAGGUGGGCCAUGCAGCAUUGGUACAUGAAUUCAAACUACCGAGUGCUUCUUGAAGAUGUCACCUGGGAAAUGGAAGGAAGUAGAUGAGGUGGUGUGGAAGCAUCAACAUGAAACACUUGUAAAAAGAAGCGCUUGAAAAUUUGGGGGGGGCAUGAGGGAAAUUGUGGUUACAGAAAAGGAAUGGACUAAAGCUUUCAUUUUCUUCUGUAUUUAGUUGGGGAGAGAAGGAAGUGGGGGUUUUAGUGUGCUGCCAUUUUAGUGUGAAAAGACCGGUAUCAGAACUGGAACCGUGCCCACUGAAGAAGACAUUGGCAGCGUUACCUGUUCCCGGUGUGGGAGGAAAAGGAGUGUAAACAUGGGAACUUUUGCUUGGAGCUGUCACUAACCACACAGUAACAUGUUAACAGUAUAUUUGUUGUAUUAAGCAAAUCACCUCUCUUCUACCAAGGAAGAGAGGGAUCAUAAAUUGGUUGUCUGAGUAAGUUGCCUUUAAAGACAAAUUAUGCACAGAAGAUGCAAUCCACCUUAAGGUGUGGCUCUUGUACUGCAUUCUCAGGAAUGCUUUAUAAAGGAGGGAAUGUGACAACUGCAUGGUAGCCAAUGAUCUGUAGUGCUGUGGUUACUGAAUGAUUUUGGAAUGUACCAAAAAACAGAAACAACCCUGUAGUCUGCAGCCAAAAAUGACAGCAUUGAACACUAGCAGUUUACUUUCUUUAGGGAUCUUGAAGAACUUCAUGAAAUAUACUUAUUUGUAAACACCAAAUACUUGAAAGGCCCCUUUUCGUAUCAGUGCAGCACUACAGAAGCAGAAAACACUAAGUAGCAGCAUCUGAAGCAUUGGAAAGGUCAGAAGUAAGUAACUAAAACUACAGAAACGUACAUUAAUGAUGUGACUGAACUCCAGGAGUGGCUUGGCUUACUGCAUAACCUCUGCUUUGGUUAUUCAGUAAGUAAGAACCAGCUGCUUUGGCUGGCCUGAGGCUGCUUCUCAGUGAGUGUGUAAAUCAUUCUUUUGAAUGUAUCAUCAGGAGGUGCAGAAUUUUACUACAGAAAAACUUUCCCUUCACGGCAUUCAUCAGGAAUUAUUAUCUGUUAAAUGUUGCUGAGAAGGGUAGGUAUUUCUAUGCUGUGUUUUGUACACGCUCUUUCUUGAAUAAAGAUGAGGAUGUGGAAAACUUUA